AAGUUUCAACAACGGAUUUCUUGGCUCUCGCAUCGAUGAAGAACGCAGCGAAAUGCGAUAAGUAAUGUGAAUUGCAGAAUUCAGUGAAUCAUCGAAUCUUUGAACGCACCUUGCGCUCCUUGGUAUUCCUUGGAGCAUGCCUGUUUGAGUAUCAU
RNAcentral lists this ribosomal RNA (155 nucleotides) under Rhizoctonia solani. RNAcentral describes it as "5.8S ribosomal RNA". It matches the Rfam family "5.8S ribosomal RNA". Rfam says of the family: 5.8S ribosomal RNA (5.8S rRNA) is a component of the large subunit of the eukaryotic ribosome. It is transcribed by RNA polymerase I as part of the 45S precursor that also contains 18S and 28S rRNA. The record is from RNAcentral. Lineage: Eukaryota; Fungi; Basidiomycota; Agaricomycetes; Cantharellales; Ceratobasidiaceae.